This 796-nucleotide ribosomal RNA is filed under the name uncultured archaeon. Its description in RNAcentral is "bacterial SSU rRNA". It matches the Rfam family "Archaeal small subunit ribosomal RNA", at positions 85 to 879 of the family's 1478-position model. The record is from RNAcentral.
ACUGCUCAGUAACACGUGGAUAACCUGCCCUUGGGUCCGGCAUAACCCCGGGAAACUGGGGAUAAUUCCGGAUAACGCAUAUGUGCUGGAAUGCUUUAUGCGUAAAAUGGAUUCGUCCGCCCAAGGAUGGGUCUGCGGCCUAUCAGGUAGUAGUGGGUGUAAUGUACCUACUAGCCGACAACGGGUACGGGUUGUGAGAGCAAGAGCCCGGAGAUGGAUUCUGAGACAUGAAUCCAGGCCCUACGGGGCGCAGCAGGCGCGAAAACUUUACAAUGCGGGAAACCGUGAUAAGGGGACACCGAGUGUCAGCAUCAUAUGCUGGCUGUCCAGGUGUGUAAAAUACACCUGUUAGCAAGGGCCGGGCAAGACCGGUGCCAGCCGCCGCGGUAACACCGGCGGCCCGAGUGGUGAUCGUGAUUAUUGGGUCUAAAGGGUCCGUAGCCGGUUUGGUCAGUCCUCCGGGAAAUCUGAUAGCUCAACUAUUAGGCUAUCGGGGGAUACUACCAGACUUGGAACCGGGAGAGGUAAGAGGUACUACAGGGGUAGGAGUGAAAUCUUGUAAUCCCUGUGGGACCACCUGUGGCGAAGGCGUCUUACCAGAACGGGUUCAACGGUGAGGGACGAAAGCUGGGGGCACGAACCGGAUUAGAUACCCGGGUAGUCCCAGCCGUAAACGAUGCUCGCUAGGUGUCAGGCAUGGCGCGACCGUGUCUGGUGCCGCAGGGAAGCCGUGAAGCGAGCCACCUGGGAAGUACGGCCGCAAGGCUGAAACUUAAAGGAAUUGGCGGGGGAGCAC